This is a long non-coding RNA of Cucurbita pepo subsp. pepo (vegetable marrow), 392 nucleotides long. RefSeq lists it as uncharacterized. The record is from RefSeq and is a predicted model, not a curated record. NCBI's taxonomy places the organism in Eukaryota, Viridiplantae, Streptophyta, Magnoliopsida, Cucurbitales, Cucurbitaceae.
UUGCGUUGCUGAUGGUUGAUUUCUUUUCGAAUUUAUUGGAGGAUUAUAGCCGGGUGAGGAAGCAGAUAUUUAUAGAGUCUCAAGACCCAUAAUCGGACGGAACUUCGAUCUCCAUGAAAACGAUGACUCUUGUUGUUCACUAGAGGGGAAGUCAUACACGUGCGUAGAUUUGGAAAUAGAAGAAAAAGAUAUUUUUGGAAGCGAUGGCGAGGAAUUAGGAGUGAGAAACUGGCGUGGUCGGUUGCCAGCCGAGAAAAUUCCACCGGCUGCCCCUGUGGGCCCAUAUCACUCCCAUCAUCUUCAUUAUAUAAUAUAUGCUUUUCAAACUUCUUCUGUAGCCUCCCCCACUUUAUUUUUCAUUCACCAAUUCACAUUUCUCAUUUAUUCGCAUC